RNAcentral lists this ribosomal RNA (352 nucleotides) under uncultured bacterium. RNAcentral's name for it is "bacterial SSU rRNA". It matches the Rfam family "Bacterial small subunit ribosomal RNA", at positions 8 to 350 of the family's 1533-position model. The record is from RNAcentral.
AGAGUUUGAUCCUGGCUCAGGAUGAACGCUAGCUACAGGCUUAACACAUGCAAGUCGAGGGGAAACGAUAUUGGAAGCUUGCUUCCGAUAGGCGUCGACCGGCGCACGGGUGAGUAACGCGUAUCCAACCUGCCCACCACUUGGGGAUAACCUUGCGAAAGUAAGACUAAUACCCAAUGACGUCUCUAGAAGACAUCUGAAAGAGAUUAAAGAUUUAUCGGUGAUGGAUGGGGAUGCGUCUGACUAGCUUGUUGGCGGGGUAACGGCCACCAAGGCUACGAUCAGUAGGGGUUCUGAGAGGAGGUCCCCCANAUUGGAACUGAGACACGGUCCAAACUCCGUACGGGAGGCA